This 405-nucleotide ribosomal RNA is filed under the name uncultured Bifidobacterium sp. RNAcentral's name for it is "bacterial SSU rRNA". It matches the Rfam family "Bacterial small subunit ribosomal RNA", at positions 227 to 640 of the family's 1533-position model. The record is from RNAcentral. Lineage: Bacteria; Bacillati; Actinomycetota; Actinomycetes; Bifidobacteriales; Bifidobacteriaceae.
GGGGUCGCGUCCUAUCAGCUUGAUGGCGGGGUAACGGCCCACCAUGGCUUCGACGGGUAGCCGGCCUGAGAGGGCGACCGGCCACAUUGGGACUGAGAUACGGCCCAGACUCCUACGGGAGGCAGCAGUGGGGAAUAUUGCACAAUGGGCGCAAGCCUGAUGCAGCGACGCCGCGUGCGGGAUGACGGCCUUCGGGUUGUAAACCGCUUUUGACUGGGAGCAAGCCCUUCGGGGUGAGUGUACCUUUCGAAUAAGCACCGGCUAACUACGUGCCAGCAGCCGCGGUAAUACGUAGGGUGCAAGCGUUAUCCGGAAUUAUUGGGCGUAAAGGGCUCGUAGGCGGUUCGUCGCGUCCGGUGUGAAAGUCCAUCGCUUAACGGUGGAUCCGCGCCGGGUACGGGCGGG